CGUUACUCUGCUAAAAUCUCACUCGCACCCAUCACCAAAGCUCAAUACUCCCAAGUUUACUCAAGGUUCAUCAUUAGGACUUUGAGAAAACUGAGCUAAAGCCACUACAAAAUCAAAAUACACCCAAAAUCAGUAUCAAAGAACUAAGAAAGGCAAGAAGAACAAAAGGUUCGAGAAGAAAAAGAAAGGAACUCGAAGGAGGAACAAAAGAAAUCACCGCGCGGCCAAAGGAGAAUACUUACCCGAGGUAACUUCGAACACCAGAAUCUUGCCGGAGUUUUAAGGCUCCGGUGAGGUGUUUACUUUCCGAUCUGUGUCUCUGAGUCCAUUGUGGUUGGAUUUUAUGUUCCUCUUACACGUCUGACAUGAUAUUUGCGAAUGUUUCAUCGUUGAUGUAUGAUGAUUCUUUGAACUAAGCACUGUUUUAAGUUGUUAGAUCUGUCGAAUCCAUUUGGGCAAGCUGGUGAGGCUGAUGUUGUUUUAGAACUAGUAUAUACUUGCAUGUUUCGUUUUUCUGGAUUAGCCAUUGUUGGACGAGAUCUGUGUGAGAUGGAGGAAUGAAAAGGGAUUAGCCAUGAAAAUCGCAUGAGAUUCUUUUUUACAUAACCGGUGUGUGUCGGUUUUGUUAUGUGUUUG
This 636-nucleotide long non-coding RNA is filed under the name Lathyrus oleraceus (garden pea). Its description in RNAcentral is "Pisum sativum (pea) long non-coding RNA (PSAT_LNC015191)". Lineage: Eukaryota; Viridiplantae; Streptophyta; Magnoliopsida; Fabales; Fabaceae. The record is from RNAcentral.